UGAGUUGACCGGGUAGCCGCGGAGGCAAUCGCCUCUGAGGAAGGUCGGGGCUUCACAGGGCGGAGUGCUUCGUUAUUGAAGGCAGGGUGACCUGACGGAAAGUGCAACAGAAAAAAAACCGCACCGUUGAGGUGUAAGGGUGAAAAGGCGUGGUAAGAGCACACCAGCACAAUGAGUGAUCAAUGUGGCUUUGCAAACCCCACUCGAAGCAAGAUCAUAUAGAGGUAUAGGGCGGCCCGUCUAGGUAGGUGUUUAGUACCUUCCAUGCCUCUGGUAGAUCGCUUAGAUGGAUGGCUACCGCGGACCUAAGGUCCAGACAGAACCUCGCCUACAGGUCAACUCAGCCC
Molecule: RNase P RNA, 347 nt
Filed under: Actinomycetota bacterium
Lineage: Bacteria; Bacillati; Actinomycetota
Description: RNase P RNA component class A
Rfam family: Bacterial RNase P class A
About the family: Ribonuclease P (RNase P) is a ubiquitous endoribonuclease, found in archaea, bacteria and eukarya as well as chloroplasts and mitochondria. Its best characterised activity is the generation of mature 5'-ends of tRNAs by cleaving the 5'-leader elements of precursor-tRNAs.
Source: RNAcentral